GCAAAGGAGCAGCUCUCCUCCUGAGUCUCCAUCCCAGAGCAGAGGCAGAAGAAAACCAAAGAGAAGGGACAGACUGAAAGACGGUCCCGCCUCAUCGGUGCAUCCCAGCAGCUCCUAAAGUUAAAACCAAGACUUCCACUGUGAGGUCAAGAGGACAUGAUGUGCCGUCAAGUCUUCACCUGACAGAAGACUCUGCACACAGGAUUCUUGAAGACCUGAUGCAGAGACAUGAGACUUCAGGAUCCUGAACGCUGUCGACUACAUCCACCGUGAUGUCUGUGCAGUUUAUAGUGUGCACACAAAACAUAUAGAGUAGAUUUCCAAACAACUCUUCUUUCUUUCUCUCAUUAUAAGCAUCAUCCCACCAUAAAAGUACAGGUAUAGUAAUAUCAUCAGCAAAAUAUACAGUAAAUAUCAUAGUUAGCAUUUAAUAUCAAAAGUGUUCAUUUGGCUUGUAUUAACUUAUACUAUUAUAUUUCUAUACUGUGGUUGGUAUAAAUGGGAAUGAAUACAACUGGGAGAUGAUGAUUACGUAUCAAUUAAUCAUAUUUUAUAAGACGAUAACAUGUUAUAUAUGGAGC
This is a long non-coding RNA of Sphaeramia orbicularis (orbiculate cardinalfish), 581 nucleotides long. RefSeq lists it as uncharacterized. Lineage: Eukaryota; Metazoa; Chordata; Actinopteri; Kurtiformes; Apogonidae. The transcript has 3 exons. The record is from RefSeq and is a predicted model, not a curated record.